This 496-nucleotide ribosomal RNA is filed under the name uncultured bacterium. RNAcentral describes it as "partial 16S ribosomal RNA". It matches the Rfam family "Bacterial small subunit ribosomal RNA", at positions 28 to 507 of the family's 1533-position model. The record is from RNAcentral.
GAUGAACGCUGGCGGCGUGCCUAAUACAUGCAAGUCGAGCGAACAGACGAGGAGCUUGCUCCUCUGACGUUAGCGGCGGACGGGUGAGUACCAGUUGGUUAACCUACCUCUAGGACUGGGAUACUUCCGGAAAACGGGGCCUACUACGGGAAAAUUAAUUGACCGUAAGGUUUCAAUGGUGAAAGACGGUUUUGCGUUAACUUAAAGACGCACCGGGCCGAAUUAGCUAGUUGGUUAGGUAACGGCUUACCAAGGCGACGGUGCGUAGACGACCUGAGAGGGUGAUCGGCCGCACUGGAACUGAGACACGGUCCAGACUCCUACGGGAGGCAGCAGUAGGGAAUCUUCCGCAAUGGGCGAAAGCCUGACGGAGCAACGCCGCGUGAGUGAUGAAGGUCUUCGGAUCGUAAAACUCUGUUAUUAGGGAAGAACAAAUGUGUAAGUAACUAUGCACGUCUUGACGGUACCUAAUCAGAAAGCCACGGCUAACUACGUG